This 234-nucleotide unclassified non-coding RNA is filed under the name Hevea brasiliensis (rubber tree). Lineage: Eukaryota; Viridiplantae; Streptophyta; Magnoliopsida; Malpighiales; Euphorbiaceae. The record is from RNAcentral.
GUUCUCAGCUAGGUCUUUGGCUAGGCGGAGCACGGUGCCGCCGGCAAAGCAACCUUGUUGGUACAUCAUGAGGCGCUUGACAGAGGGACGGAGACCGAGGAGCUUGGUGAGUUGGUAAUCGGCCCCGGGCAUGUCGACGCCACUAGUGGUGCAGAAAACCAAGUGGGUGAUUUUGGACUUCGGCUGGCCCCAUUCUUUGAUGGCCUUGGUUGCAGCCUCUUUGCCUAGUUUUGG